RNAcentral lists this long non-coding RNA (213 nucleotides) under Pelobates cultripes (western spadefoot toad). The record is from RNAcentral. Lineage: Eukaryota; Metazoa; Chordata; Amphibia; Anura; Pelobatidae.
GUUUGGCUCUAUUUCUAUGGAACUGAAAACGGACACUUUUUCUGCCGAACACCGCUGAAACAACGGAACGCCUGGCUGCCUCCACGAAAGCAUGCGAACACCGGCCGUUCGAGAGAUUGAGAGCAUACGAAAAGACUUAACCCAGAUAGCCUUCCCAUGGAGUCAUUAGUAUACCGAAAGACUGUAAGAACUUUGACUCCAUGGCGAUUGAAC